GGCACGGUGGCUUAGUGGUUAGCACGUUAGCCUCACAUUUCCGGGAGUAUGGGUUCGAUUCCUGUCUCUGCCU
Ameiurus melas (black bullhead) is the source of this 73-nucleotide non-coding RNA. The record is from the annotation of a GenBank genome assembly. NCBI's taxonomy places the organism in Eukaryota, Metazoa, Chordata, Actinopteri, Siluriformes, Ictaluridae.